Molecule: ribosomal RNA, 435 nt
Filed under: uncultured bacterium
Lineage: Bacteria
Description: partial 16S ribosomal RNA
Rfam family: Bacterial small subunit ribosomal RNA
Source: RNAcentral
AGGGAAUCUUCGGCAAUGGACGAAAGUCUGACCGAGCAACGCCGCGUGAGUGAAGAAGGUUUUCGGAUCGUAAAACUCUGUUGGUAGAGAAGAACGUUGGUGAGAGUGGAAAGCUCAUCAAGUGACGGUAACUACCCAGAAAGGGACGGCUAACUACGUGCCAGCAGCCGCGGUAAUACGUAGGUCCCGAGCGUUGUCCGGAUUUAUUGGGCGUAAAGCGAGCGCAGGUGGUUUAUUAAGUCUGGUGUAAAAGGCAGUGGCUCAACCAUUGUAUGCAUUGGAAACUGGUAGACUUGAGUGCAGGAGAGGAGAGUGGAAUUCCAUGUGUAGCGGUGAAAUGCGUAGAUAUAUGGAGGAACACCGGUGGCGAAAGCGGCUCUCUGGCCUGUAACUGACACUGAGGCUCGAAAGCGUGGGGAGCAAAACAGGAUUAGA